ACGGGAGGCAGCAGCUAAGAAUAUUCCGCAAUGGACGAAAGUCUGACGGAGCGACGCCGCGUGGAUGAUGAAGGUCGGAGGAUUGUAAAAUCCUUUUAUAACUGAGGAAUAAGCAGUGUGAGAGAAACGCAUUGCGGUGACUGUAGGUUAUGAAUAAGCAACGGCUAAUUACGUGCCAGCAGCCGCGGUAACACGUAAGUUGCGAGCGUUGCCCGGAAUUAUUGGGCGUAAAGGGCAUGUAGGCGGUUUUGCAAGCUUGGUGUGAAAUCUCGGAGCUCAACUCCGAAAUUGCGUUGAGAACUGCAUAACUGGAGUCACUGAGGGGCAAUCAGAGUUCCUGGUGUAGGGGUGAAAUCUGUAGAUAUCAGGAAGAAUACCAAUGGCGAAGGCAGGUUACCAGCAGAUGACUGACGCUGAGGUGCGAAGGUGCGGGGAGCAAACAGGAUUAGAUACCCUGGUA
RNAcentral lists this ribosomal RNA (460 nucleotides) under uncultured Treponema sp. RNAcentral describes it as "partial 16S ribosomal RNA". It matches the Rfam family "Bacterial small subunit ribosomal RNA", at positions 341 to 792 of the family's 1533-position model. The record is from RNAcentral. Lineage: Bacteria; Pseudomonadati; Spirochaetota; Spirochaetia; Treponematales; Treponemataceae.